GGAAGGUAAAGCAUUCUGGUGAAUCUCGCGGACUUCAAAUCCGAGGACGGGGCAGUUGACUGUUUCGUGGGGAGUUCGAUUCUCUCACCUUCUC
This 94-nucleotide transfer RNA is filed under the name Campylobacter sputorum subsp. bubulus. RNAcentral's name for it is "tRNA-seC(tca)". It matches the Rfam family "Selenocysteine transfer RNA". RNAcentral also lists the same sequence under 2 other names. The record is from RNAcentral. Lineage: Bacteria; Pseudomonadati; Campylobacterota; Epsilonproteobacteria; Campylobacterales; Campylobacteraceae.